CCAGACUCCUACGGGAGGCAGCAGUGGGGAAUAUUGCACAAUGGGCGGAAGCCUGAUGCAGCAACGCCGCGUGCGGGAUGACGGCCUUCGGGUUGUAAACCGCUUUCGCCUGUGACGAAGCGUGAGUGACGGUAAUGGGUAAAGAAGCACCGGCUAACUACGUGCCAGCAGCCGCGGUGAUACGUAGGGUGCGAGCGUUGUCCGGAUUUAUUGGGCGUAAAGGGCUCGUAGGUGGUUGAUCGCGUCGGAAGUGUAAUCUUGGGGCUUAACCCUGAGCGUGCUUUCGAUACGGGUUGACUUGAGGAAGGUAGGGGAGAAUGGAAUUCCUGGUGGAGCGGUGGAAUGCGCAGAUAUCAGGAGGAACACCAGUGGCGAAGGCGGUUCUCUGGGCCUUUCCUGACGCUGAGGAGCGAAAGCGUGGGGAGCGAACAGGCUUAGAUACCCUGGUAGUCCACGCUGUAAACGGUGGGUACUAGGUGUGGGGUCCAUUCCACGGGUUCCGUGCCGUAGCUAACGCUUUAAGUACCCCGCCUGGGGAGUACGGCCGCAAGGCUAA
This 556-nucleotide ribosomal RNA is filed under the name uncultured bacterium. RNAcentral describes it as "bacterial SSU rRNA". It matches the Rfam family "Bacterial small subunit ribosomal RNA", at positions 331 to 897 of the family's 1533-position model. The record is from RNAcentral.